This is a long non-coding RNA of Ailuropoda melanoleuca (giant panda), 353 nucleotides long. RefSeq lists it as uncharacterized. The transcript has 3 exons. The record is from RefSeq and is a predicted model, not a curated record. NCBI's taxonomy places the organism in Eukaryota, Metazoa, Chordata, Mammalia, Carnivora, Ursidae.
GGGCAAGGGACUUAGGCGGAGCAGGAGCCGGCCCAGAGAUGGAGAGGGUCCUUCCCUCGGCCGAAUAAAGGGCUCAGGAAAUCAUCCACGACAGUGACCCGGGGGCCCAGCUGCUCACUCAGCACAUCCAGGAAGCGGUCAGUAUCCCGGCUUCGCACAGGACGGGAGAAGCUGCUGUUCAGUCGGGACUCGAGCUCCGCAUAGACGGCUGACAUCUUCAGGGACAGGAGGCCAGGGUGAGUCCAGCCAACCGUCACCUCCCCCAUGAGGCCAGGUCUGGGUGAUGUGGGAGGCAGGGAUCUGCCCCAGCCCCAUGAUCCCCCUAUUCCCAGGAGCCACAUGAACCACCAGGA